AUUCUUUUACUGUAUUUUUUCCACCAAGAUACACUUUGUAGAGGACCUUUCUCUGGAGUAAUACAAAGAGAAAGAAAUUGAAAGUAACAUUUGGAAAUUGAAAAGAUUUACCUAUUUAUUUGAGAACAAGAGAAAAAGUGAGAAGAGGGACAGAGGGAAGAAAUUUCAAGCAGACUCCACUGAGAGCAAAGCCCCAUUUUGGGCUGGAUUUCAAACCCCAUGAGAUCGCGACCUGAGCCAAAACCAAGAGCUGCCAACUGUUAACCAACUGACCCACCUCAGUGUCCCAGUGUUUUUACUUCUGAUAGGAUUUCUAGUUUCUCUCAUGUAUGUAUUUGUGUG
Molecule: long non-coding RNA, 342 nt
Filed under: Mustela putorius furo (domestic ferret)
Lineage: Eukaryota; Metazoa; Chordata; Mammalia; Carnivora; Mustelidae
Description: lncRNA (ENSMPUG00000027082.1)
Source: RNAcentral